This 1779-nucleotide long non-coding RNA is filed under the name Strigops habroptila (Kakapo). Its description in RNAcentral is "lncRNA (ENSSHBG00005009302.1)". Lineage: Eukaryota; Metazoa; Chordata; Aves; Psittaciformes; Psittacidae. The record is from RNAcentral.
UUUUAUGAAUACUUAGUUUAUUAGUGUCAUAAAUAAUUAAUUCAAUCCAGGUAGACUCCUUUAAAAAGCAAUUUACUAAGCUGUCCAACAAUACAGCAAUGAAAUAGCAAGAAUACACUUUGCUAAGAGGCAUAAUUUUAAAAAACUUUAGUUAUUAGAUUAAAAAUAUGAUACUUUUCUUCUGAACCUGCAGAUCAAUUGCAGCAUUGCCUUCACAAAAAUUCACAACUAUUUAAUGAAAAAGGACAAACAAAAGAUAUUUUUUUAAAUAAUGAAGAUUUAAAAAACUUAACAUACUAUAAGAGAUAUUUCCCAUCUAAAGGAGGCGGCAAAUGAAUGUAUUACUUACUUCAGAAUGAUUUAAAUAUUGCUCUAUAAUUAAUGUGCUGCUGUGCUAAUAUGGCAUUAUAGAGAAGAACUAAUUCAAAGGCAAUUAGUAGUAUUAGAUGAAAGUUUUGCUUUGGGGAGUUUUAUUAUUUAGAAGCUAAUUUUUAUCAUUAAUUUAAACUCAAUAAUUUAAGCUUAGGCGGCUGUGGCUGCGGCUGCCUGCUACAUACAGACUCUUGUGGACAUGCGUAUUCUCAAGUCAGUUAGUCCUUGCAGCUCACAGACAGCAAAGACAGAACAGGUCUGUACAUUCAAGCUGUCCCAUGGGUGUGCAAAUAUUUUUAACCCUGCCACCUCCUCGCUAUUGUAGCUAAGAUAUAAGGGAAGAAUGCAGCGUCCCAGCUUUGUCUUCCAGUUCAGUCCCACGGAGAGGCGAAGGUUAAGAAUGAGGAAAAUUAGGCAGACAGCCCUGUGUGGCCCAGAGAAAGACAUGCUAUUCUGUGGGGGCCAACUCCCCUUACAUAAAUGGGAGAAAGCUCUAUGAAUGAGAUCAUUUUGACUUCCUUUGCUCACAUGUUAAUGUGGGCUUGCUUUCCUUUAGUUAAAGCAGGUCAGCUGUGCAGCAAGGUUCAGCGCCACAUUGUGAACUGUUUCCGAACCCCUGGCGCCUGCAUUGCAGCUCAGGUCUGAAGGACAUGAUUUGUGCAGGCUUUUCCCGUGCUGCAGCCAGUGUGCAAGAGUCCAGAACCCCACAGACGGCUCCCGGAGGGAUCCCUGCAGCAAAGCCCUCCACAGAGGAGCCAGGGAAUCUGGCUGGGUUUUAGACCACCUUUCAGGAGCUUAUUAAAAUCAGAUUUGUGUAUGCCCAGCUCUCAUCAAUAGCACAUUAAAUUUUCACAUGGAAGCUCCCCAGCAUUUAGGAUUGAGUGCUGGUGAUCACAUACUAGUCACAGUGAUAAGCUAUCAGACAGACACUCUCUGCUGCUGUUUGUUCAGUGGCUCUUUUUUAAUCCUUGGAUUACUUUGCCCUCAAUUUUUUUCUAUAGUUUGCUCACAUAAUUUUGUACACUCCAGAGAAGUGAAUCCAGUUUUUUCUGUUCCCACAGUAAUCAUCAAUUCAAGCUGAAGUGAAAGGGUCAAAUUUAGAGGCAAGUAAAUGGUGGUGUAAAUUUCUCAUUAGCAAAUCAAUGCAAAUCUGUGAAAUUCAGUGUCACUGAACCACAGUUAGCCCUGCGUUAAGUGAAAACAAAUUCCAUUAAUUUCUGCGGGAAUAGUACGUUUUUUACUCUGUGUUUGAUCCAUUGGGCCAAAUUACCUCUAUACCCUUGACAUCACUGUGAAUUUGAAUUAAUUAGAGAGGUCAGCGUCUCUGACACAGUGAAUGUAAAUCUGUAUAAUUCACCUGCUGAGAAGGGAAUGGAACUGAAGUAGCCAAAAAAAAAAAAAAAAAAA